RNAcentral lists this ribosomal RNA (322 nucleotides) under uncultured eukaryote. RNAcentral describes it as "partial 18S ribosomal RNA". It matches the Rfam family "Eukaryotic small subunit ribosomal RNA", at positions 1470 to 1796 of the family's 1831-position model. The record is from RNAcentral.
CCCUUAGAUGUUCUGGGCCGCACGCGUGCUACACUGAGUGGAUCAGCGGGUCAGGUUGCGCGAAAGUGUUUCCUAAUCUUGAAAUCCGCUCGUGAUGGGGAUUGACGGUUGCAAUUUUCCGUCAUGAACGAGGAAUACCUUGUAAGCGCGGGUCAUCAUCCCGCGCUGAAUACGUCCCUGCCCUUUGUACACACCGCCCGUCGCUCCUACCGAUUGAGUGGUCCGGUGAGGCUUUGGGAUCUGAGCGGAAAGAGCGUUUCGCUGUUUCUGCUCGGAAAACUCAGUCGAACCUCAUCAUUUAGAGGAAGGAGAAGUCGUAACA